UACGAAGGGCCCGAGCGUUGCGCGGAAUCACUGGGCUUAAAGCGUGCGCAGGCGGAUAUGCAAGUACCUUGUGAAAUCCCAUGGCUCAACCAUGGAACUGCUUGGUAUACUGUGUAUCUUGAGGUCGGUAGGGGCCAUCGGAACGAUAGGUGGAGCGGUGAAAUGCGUAGAUAUCUAUCGGAACGCCUAAGGCGAAGGCAGAUGGCUGGGCCGAUUCUGACGCUCAUGCACGAAAGCGUGGGGAGCGAACGGG
This 253-nucleotide ribosomal RNA is filed under the name uncultured bacterium. RNAcentral's name for it is "partial 16S ribosomal RNA". It matches the Rfam family "Bacterial small subunit ribosomal RNA", at positions 524 to 776 of the family's 1533-position model. The record is from RNAcentral.